RNAcentral lists this long non-coding RNA (1479 nucleotides) under Glycine max (soybean). RNAcentral's name for it is "long non-coding RNA (GMAX_LNC000885)". The record is from RNAcentral. Lineage: Eukaryota; Viridiplantae; Streptophyta; Magnoliopsida; Fabales; Fabaceae.
AUAGUUGUUUCGUGGACCCUCAAAUGUUGUUACGUAGCUUGGAAAUGCAAACCAACAAUUUGGCAAAGCCAUGCAUGGUCCUUCCCUGAAUCAAAAAUCGAUGAGAGUAGUCCUUUUCUCUCUUUGUCCACUGUGUUUCCCAACGUCCUGAUCGUGAGUCGUGGGUGGGAUAUGAUGACAAAGCACUCUCUCAUGGCUUAGGGCUCGAUCGUUUGUAGAGAAAUGAAUAAUAAAAUAGGGUAAGACUCACUUUUAUACUUUAACUCAAUUCAAAAUUUUCAUUUCGACUAUACUUUUAUUCUAUUUUUUUCACUUUACCGGAUAUCCUUAAUGUUUUGGUCAUUGGCCUCAAACCGUCGCAAAGGUGAUGAUUAGAUAAAUUCUUGGGUUAAAUGUAGUGAUUAGAUAAAACUCAUUUCAAAUAAUGCUCGCGAGAUAUCAGGAUUCUUAAACUUUUAACAUUGUAAAUGACGUUCUUCGUCCUGUGACCAAUCAUUGAUGGGUGCUUUUUGUUGUAUCAUGUUUAUAAAAUUUUAUAAAUUAACUAUUUUCACUAUAAAUGUAAGUGUGAAUUUGUUAACUUAUAUCCACUUAUUUUUUAAAUGAAUAAAUUAAUAAAUUAUAAUUAUAAAUUUCUUUAAAAUACAUUCAGGUGUAAGUUGAUAACUUACUCCUAAAAAAUAAGUGAAUCUAUAUGAAUAAAUGCAUAUAAGGUUUAUUAAUUUACACCACUUAUUUUUUAUAAAGAAUAAGUUAAAAAGUCAUAAUUAUAAAUUUUCUUAACUUAUUCCUAAAAAAUAAGUGGGUUUAAGUUAAUAUAUAUAUAUAUAUAUAUAUAUAUAUAUAUAUAUAUAUAUAUAUAUAUAUAUAUAUAUAUAUAUAUAUAUAUAUAUAUAUAUAUACACGUAUAAAAUAAAAAUUUAUUAUUGAACUUCAUAUUUACACACGUCUAAGUAAUCCAAUAUUUAAUAUACAUAUAUAAUCAUUAAGAUAAUAUCAUAUCAAAUAAUUUAAUAAUUAAAUUAAUAAAUAUAUUUAAUUUUAAUGGGUAUGUAGAUUAUGUACAUACAUUGUACAAAAUAUUUCCUCUAAAAAACGAGUGUGGUCUUUUGGAUCAUCUUUGAUACUGAAGAUUUUCAAUAAGAAAGAAGUGCACAUAAAGAUAUUGAAUGGUAAAAAAAUUUAACACCCUCAUCUCUUAUUUUUGUAUACCUCGCACUAGAAUUUUUCAGUAACGAAGAAUACAGAGUCUCCGAAAAACGCAAGCAUUCGGAUUUUAAAAGCGAGUGACACCUGCAGAAUAUUCCAUUCCCUUUUCAUUCACGUAACUCUUAUAGAUCUUUGUAUUUUGUAGGCAGAACAUGAGACUAGCUCUAUCUGAAUAAGUCUGAAGAGUUCAAAUGCAGAAGGUCAGUGACAAAGGGUCCACGUUAUGGCUACGGCGUCUUUCAGAUUCUAACCCAUCUCUAUAUGUCGUGA